Molecule: small nuclear RNA, 107 nt
Organism: Erinaceus europaeus (western European hedgehog)
Lineage: Eukaryota; Metazoa; Chordata; Mammalia; Eulipotyphla; Erinaceidae
Source: Ensembl
GUCCUAGCUUUGGUAGUACAUAUACUGAAAUUGGCAUGAUACAGAGAAGAUUAGCAUGGCCCCUGCUCAAGGAUUACACACAAAUUCAUGAAGUGUACCAUAUUUUU